RNAcentral lists this ribosomal RNA (1190 nucleotides) under Bacillus subtilis. RNAcentral describes it as "bacterial SSU rRNA". It matches the Rfam family "Bacterial small subunit ribosomal RNA", at positions 128 to 1285 of the family's 1533-position model. The record is from RNAcentral. Lineage: Bacteria; Bacillati; Bacillota; Bacilli; Caryophanales; Bacillaceae.
GCCUGUAAGACUGGGAUAACUCCGGGAAACCGGGGCUAAUACCGGAUGGUUGUUUGAACCGCAUGGUUCAAACAUAAAAGGUGGCUUCGGCUACCACUUACAGAUGGACCCGCGGCGCAUUAGCUAGUUGGUGAGGUAACGGCUCACCAAGGCAACGAUGCGUAGCCGACCUGAGAGGGUGAUCGGCCACACUGGGACUGAGACACGGCCCAGACUCCUACGGGAGGCAGCAGUAGGGAAUCUUCCGCAAUGGACGAAAGUCUGACGGAGCAACGCCGCGUGAGUGAUGAAGGUUUUCGGAUCGUAAAGCUCUGUUGUUAGGGAAGAACAAGUACCGUUCGAAUAGGGCGGUACCUUGACGGUACCUAACCAGAAAGCCACGGCUAACUACGUGCCAGCAGCCGCGGUAAUACGUUAGGUUGGCAAAGCGUUGUCCCGGGAAUUAUUUGGGCGUAAAAGGGCUCGCAGGCGGGUUUUCUUAAGUCUGAUGUGAAAGCCCCCCGGCUCAACCCGGGGAGGGUCAUUGGAAACUGGGGAACUUGAGUGCAGAAGAGGGAGGAGUGGAAUUCCACGUGUAGCGGUGAAAUGCGGUAGAGAUGUGGGAGGAACACCAGUGGCGAAGGCGACUCUCUGGUCUGUAAACUGACGCUGAGGAGCGAAAGCGUGGGGAGCGAACAGGAUUAGAUACCCUGGUAGUCCACGCCGUAAACGAUGAGUGCUAAGUGUUAGGGGGUUUUCCGCCCCUUAGUGCUGCAGCUAACGCAUUAAGCACUCCGCCUGGGGAGUACGGUCGCAAGACUGAAACUCAAAGGAAUUGACGGGGGGCCCGCACAAGCGGUGGAGCAUGUGGUUUAAUUCGAAGCAACGCGAAGAACCUUACCAGGUCUUGACAUCCUCUGACAAUCCUAGAGAUAGGACGUCCCUCUUCGGGGGCAGAGUGACAGGUGGUGCAUGGUUGUCGUCAGCUCGUGUCGUGAGAUGUUGGGUUAAGUCCCGCAACGAGCGCAACCCUUGAUUUUAGUUGCCAGCAUUCAGUUGGGCACUUUAAGGUGACUGCCGGUGACAAACCGGAGGAAGGUGGGGAUGACGUCAAAUCAUCAUGCCCCUUAUGACCUGGGCUACACACGUGCUACAAUGGACAGAACAAAGGGCAGCGAAACCGCGAGGUUAAGCCAAUCCCACAAAUCUGU